GCAGCCACUGGCCGGCGGGCACGGCGCCGAUGGCGUUGAGGGCGCCGUCCAGGCCGGUCGCCGUGGACACGUCGCGGGUGGCCGCG
RNAcentral lists this transfer RNA (86 nucleotides) under Klenkia taihuensis. Its description in RNAcentral is "tRNA-Leu". The record is from RNAcentral. Lineage: Bacteria; Bacillati; Actinomycetota; Actinomycetes; Geodermatophilales; Geodermatophilaceae.